UAGCAAGAAAAAAACGAAAGUUAAAAAAAAACUAACGUUUGUCGUAUAAUGUCUGGAAAUUACAAUUAUUCAAAUUUCCGAGAGUGGAUGUACAAGAGGAUCGAUGAGGAGACAGGAAAACUUUCGGAAGAGUUCAUAGCGGGGGUGGAACAAUUUAUGACAUUCGCAAACAGUCAGUCUCUAACACAAAGUAAUAGUGGUAAGUUUUUAUGCCCGUGUACUGUUUGUCAGAACGAUAAAUUUCUCGCGGGAACAAAAAUUUGGAGACAUAUAUAUAAUAGAGGAUUUAUGCCAGACUAUUAUGUUUGGUAUAAACAUGGAGAAGAAAUUGAUAUUGCAUUAGUAAAGAGUUAUGUUGACCCGACGCAUUUAAGUGGUAGUGAUCAAGAAGUUGGUAAUGAGGAUAAUUAUAUAGAUAUGGUGAAUGAUGCAUUUCGUGAUAAUGUGAGUUUUGAUAACUAUCAACAUGAUGAUAGUUAUCAAAAUGUAGUAGACCCGCAAUGCAACCAUUCGAAGAAGUUCUACGAUUUGUUAGAAGGAGCACAAAAUCCUUUGUAUGAUGGUUGUCGUGAAGGGCAGUCACGGUUAUCCUUAGCUGCUCGGGUCUUGCAAAACAAGGCAGAUUAUAAUCUGAGCGAAAAAUGUGUGGAUUCAGUAUGUCAAAUGUUGACAGACUAUUUACCUGAAGGAAACACAGCAAUCGAUUCACACUACGAGACCAAGAAGUUGAUGCGCAAUUUAGGGCUCCCAUAUCAUACAAUUGAUGUUUGUAUUAACAAUUGUAUGAUCUUCUGGAAAGAAAAUGAAAGGUGGGAAGAGUGCCAAUUUUGUGGUGCAGCAAGAUGGAAGCCUAGGGACAAAAGACGCAGAACCAAAGUACCAUAUAGUUGUAUGUGGUAUCUACCUAUAGCUGACAGGCUGAAAAGAAUGUAUCAGAGCAAGAAGACAGCAGCGGCAAUGAGAUGGCAUGCUGAGCACCAAGCAAAGGAGGGGGAAAUGUGUCAUCCAUCUGAUGCGGCGGAAUGGAAACAUUUUCAAGAUAUAUAUCCCCAGUUUGCCGAAGAACCUCGUAACGUUUAUCUUGGAUUAUGUACUGAUGGGUUCAAUCCGUUUGGGAUGUCUCGUAAUCAUUCAUUGUGGCCCGUGAUCCUGACUCCAUAUAAUCUACCUCCUCAUAUGUGCAUGAGUACAGAGUAUUUGUUUCUUACAAUUCUGAAUUCUGGGCCAAAUCAUCCGCGAGCUAGUUUUGAUAUCUUCCUCAAACCUUUGAUCGAGGAGUUAAAAGAAUUGUGGUCAACUGGGGUUGAAGCGUACGAUGUGUCCUUAAAUCAAAAUUUUAAUCUAAAAGCUGUGUUACUAUGGACGAUAAGCGAUUUUCCAGCGUAUGGCAUGUUAUCAGGAUGGACGACCCAUGGUAAAUUGGCUUGUCCAAUUUGCAUGGAAGAUACGAACGCUUUUUAUCUACAUAAUGGAAGAAAGACGUGUUGGUUUGAUUGUCACUGCAGAUUUCUUCCUCGUGAUCAUCCACUGAGGAAGAAUAGAAAGGACUUCUUGAAGGGAAAAAGCGCGGUAAAUGAAUUUCCACCUAAAUCUUUGACUGGUGAGCAAGUUUACUCAGAGCUAUCGGGUGUCAAUCCACUGAAAACGUCUGUUUGCGGUGGAAAUGGCAAUGAAAAGAAGAACCCUGGUUAUGAGAAAUAUCAUGACUGGCACAAGGAAAGCAUUUUUUGGGAGUUGCCAUACUGGAAGGACCUGAUACUCCGACAUAAUCUUGAUGUGAUGCAUAUAGGGAAGAAUUUUUUUGACAACAUCAUCAAUACUCUUAUGAAUGUCAAAGGCAAAUCGAAAGACACAAUCAAUUCAAGAUUGGAUAUGGCAAUAUUCUGUGAUCGGCCACACUUACAUGUUGAUACUGCUGGUCAAGCUCCAUUUCCUCCUUACAUGCUGGACGAAGAUGAAAAAAACGUUAUUGGAAUGUGUGAAACACGCUGUUAAAUUCCCAGACGGAUAUGCUUCAGACUUAGCUAAUUGUGUCGAUUUAGAGAACAACAAAUUUUCUGGUAUGAAGAGUCAUGACUGCCAUGUUUUUAUGGAGCGGCUACUUCCAUUUAUAUUUUCAGAACUCCUAGACCAAAACGUCCAUCUUGCGCUAUCAGGUACUAAUUAGCUACUGUUUUAUUUAUUUUGAAAUGAUAAACCUUUAUAAUUAUAGUAAAUAUUACUAAGAAAUGCAUUUUGAAUAUUGUAGUGGUUGGUGUAUCUUCCGAGACCUUUGCUCGAGAACCUUACAGAAAAAUCACGUCCAAAUGCUUAAACGGAAUAUUGUUUUGAUCAUCUGCAAUUUGGAGAAGAAUUUUCCACCAUCGUUUUUCGACGUCAUGUAGCACUUGCCUAUACAUCUCCCCUACGAAGCUGAGCUAGAAGGAUCUGUGCAAUAUAGGUGGAUGUAUGUUUUUGAAAGGAAUUUUAAAAAAUUGAAAACGAAAGCAUAGAACAAAAGAUUUGCGGCCGGCUCGAUUGUUGAAUCAUAUAUCAACGAUGAGAUAGCUUACUUCUCAGAGCACUACUUUGCUGACCAUAUACAAACGAAAUCAAGGUAAACGCUAUCAUUAUUCCUCGGUUUCAGUUUUUAUGUCUAUGUGCAUGCUUUUUAUUUAAAAAUGUGCAUUAAUAAUUUUCAUAAUCUUUUGGACAGGUUCACAAGAUUUCAUGAAGGUGAAGUUGCCGUAUAUCAUGUUCCUGGAGUGCCAGAUAUAUUUACACAUGUAGGUAGUCCAAGUGGAGAAAUGCAAGAAAUAUGGCUUUCCGAGAAAGACUACAGAUGCGCACAUGCAUAUGUUUUACGAAUUGUGAUUAUUUUCAGUCAUUUGAGAGGUAUAAUUUGAUAAUAUUAUCAUCUUCCUUAUUGAUUUACCCAGCUAUAAUUGCCCAUAUUAAUAUUUGUUUGACUAAUUUAGGAUGUUUGAAGAUUUCUUUACUGCCAAAUAGACAGACCUCUCUAAAAAAGACCUCUCUGCGAAGAGAGCUGACGAAUAUCAUAUAUGGGUGAAAGAUUAUGUACGUCUGACUAAUACUUUUAUUUAACUAUGUGUAUAUAAUAAUAUAUAAAUAUAUAUUGAUUUAAUUAUAUAUAUAUGUUGCAGGUUAGCUAUUGGAGCAACACACAUCAUUUUCCUCAGUGGGUUAAAGAUAUUGCGAAUGGACCCAUGAAUAAGGCCAGAACAUGGCCCAUCUAUUUCACAAGAGGCUUUUUGUUCCAUACACAGAAGCAUGGCGAGGGAAGAAAGACAUGUAAUUACGGUGUGAGUGUUAAAGGGGAGAGCUACACAAAUGCAUCCGAUGAAGCUGAUUACUAUGGGAUCUUGACUGAUAUCAUACAAAUUCAGUAUGAGGGGUCGGUCGAUUUGAAAAUCACACUUUUUAAAUGUAAGUGGUAUGAUCCGUUAGUUGGUAGAGGCACUCGGCGGAGAAAUGGUGGCAUCGUCGAUGUUCUUUCAUUGAGGAAAUACCAUAAAUACGAACCAUUUAUUCUAGGUACGUAUUUUAUAUUGAAAUUAUACUUUUAUGAUUUGAUACUUAAUUUAAUUAUACUUUUAUUAUUUGAUAUUGCAUGCACAGCAUCUCAAGCAGAUCAAGUUUGUUAUAUCCCGUAUCCGUACGUUAAGAAACCAAAGCAGUCGUGGCUCAAUGUUUUGAAAGUGAAUCCGAGGGGAAUCAUUUCUGGAGAAUAUGAAAAUAAAGAACCGACAUUGUUGCAACAAGAAAAUGAUGAUGCUGUUUUAAUGACUACGGUUGAAGAUCUAGAAUUUGAUCAUUUGGUUCAUGCUCGGGUACAACCUAUAAAUCUCGAUGUUGAUGUGGAAGAUGUUGAACAAGAUGAUGAAUUUCAAUGUAAUAUAUCGUCAUCCGACGAAGAUGGAGAAGUACCCUACUAAAAUAUAGUAUAAUUUUCUAAACUUUGUUUAAAUAUGUAUUGUAAUAUAAUUUUGUAAACUUUGUUUUAAUGUGUAUUGUAAUAUAAUUUUGCAACUUUGUUUGUUGUGUAUUGUAAUAUAUUUUUGUUUAAAAAAAUAUUUAAUCAACUCAUAAACAAAGUAAAAUUAUUUCUUUGAACCCUAAACCAACACAUUCUAGAUCACUACCCUAUACCCUAAAUUAUAUUAACCUUAAACUAAAACCAAAAAGACCCGGCCAAAUUUUCAUUUGGUGAUUGCGUUGUUAAUUUUCAUUUGGUGACUUAUGUAAAUUCGGUGAAAUUUUCACUCCCCGCCAAGCCUAAAUUAAUUCCCACCCAAAUUAAUUUAACCCUCCAAGGCCCAAAAUAAUUACUCUUAUAAUCGAAAAAGAACAGAAACCCUAAUCACUUGUGUUCUCUCUGCCUUCGACACAUCUCACCCCUUUCUAUCUAUCUAAACUCUCUGUUAAUCACUGAAGACGAUGUCGGGAAAGAAGAAACAGAAGAAGAUGCUCACCUCCAGUGCGAAAACACCAUCUCCCCUUCCCUCGCAGUACGAAUUCGUUCCAAGAACUCAAGCGCCUCCGCCUGUCCCGAACCGCCAACCUCCACCAUCUGUGUCUGACUAUCCACCUCCGGCACAGCUUUUCCAGGACUCGAUGGUCCAAUCCCGAAGAGCUUCAACUCCAUCGCCAAAACCUCGAGGGUCUCAGACUUCACAGCCUCGAGGGUCUCAGACUUCACAGCCUCGAGGGUCUCAGACUUCACAGCCUCGAGCGUCUCAGACUUCACAGCCUCGAGCGUCUCAGACUUCACAACCUCGAGCAUCUCAGACUUCCUUACCUCGAGGAUCUCAGACUUCAGCGACUCGACAACCACAAUCGCCACAAUCUCAGAGCACUUCUGAAGCUCAGAACUCACAGACUGCAGAAGAUUCAGAAGAUGAAGAAUUUCCUCAUGUAGAACCGACUCUCUCCAAAGACCAGAUGGAUGUUGUCAAUGCUCUUCUCUCCCAGCCAGGCAGGGAGCGCUUAACUACCCUUUCUCCCUACUUGGAGCCUGGAACCACUUGGUUUGGUUCGGACAAGGGUAAACUGACUCGGAAGAUCACUAAGAUCUUUAAAAACAAGUUUAACGGUCAAUACUACAGCGGGACUGUUGUGCCUCGGCGAAGACAAGAAAGAUGGUUUGUAGAGUUUGCAGUUGAGUUCUUUUCUUCUAGACUUCGCAUUUCUACUUUCUUUAGUUUAAUUUGCUUUUUAAUAUCAACUUUCUCUUCUGUUGUAGAAAACUCAUACAUGGCGUUCUACACUAACCGGUUUAGUUCAGGAGAAGUUUGAGAGGAUAGGUCAGCGCCGUCUCAAAGACAUUGUUAGCAAUCGCAGGACUUCUCGAAAGAGACCAAACUGGAUUAAGAAAACUUUGUGGAGAAAAAUAUGUGCUUUUUGGGACACUGCUGAAGCCAAAGAAAAGAGUUUGACGACUUCAGCUGCUCGGAUGUCUGACCGUAAAUGUCUUGGUCCUCAAAAGCACAACUCAGGGCAGAAGUCUUUCCAACAAAUCGAACAAGAAAUGGUAACUUCCUUUUCUUUGACCAAACUAAAAAAAAAUUAUGUCUUAAUACCCUUUACUUUGUUUACCAUUUCGGGUAGAGGAAUCGGGCAGACCGGUGACUCUUAGUGAAGUCUUCAUUAGGACUAAUACAAAAAGGAUGGGACCUUUGUGGAUAUGAAAGCACAGGAGGUUGUUGAGGUGUAUCGGCGGAACAAACAGUCAAAGUUGGAUGACCUUGAGGCUGAAAACGCAGACCCUUCAGAGUCUAGUUCACAAGCUCCAGAGCUCUCUAUAGAUGAUGCUAAUGAGAUAUUCCUCCUGGUAAUUUUUUUCUCUUAAGUUUAGUUUGUUUUUGAUAUAUAAUCUGUUUUCUUUGGUUUUAUAUUUUAUCUUUUAUACUUGAUGCUUGUUUCUUCUCGUUUUUGGUAGAUGAUACAUACUGUUUCCUCUGCUUUUAUUAUUUAUUUUUCCUUAUGGGAUACUUGUUUCUAUGGGUUUAUACUUGUUUCUCUUGUUUCUCUGAUACAUGAUACUUUUUUCUUCUUGUUUUUGAUACAUCAUACUUGGUUCUUCUCUUUUUUUUGUAGUCCACUUACACAGACAAAAGAGGAAAACAUUAUGGAAUUGGAAGCGUGGAGAGUACUCUCGUCAAUGGAAAGCGGAAGUACAGUGCAUCCUCUUCAAUCCUGGACCUGCAAACACAGCUUGAUGAAGCUCACCGCAUGAUCGAGGAGCAGGCUGCCCAGAAUGCAAUCGCUCUCCGCAAAAUCGAGGAGCAGGCUGCCCAAAACGCAAACAAUCUCCGCAUAAUCAAGGAGCAGGCUGCUCAUAGCGCAGAGCAAGGAAAACAGCUCAAGGAGUUAUCUAGAGUGGACAAGUUUUUGACUGCAACAAAUCCUCAGUACGUUGAAUACGUUGCAGCUAACAAGUCGGAUGAUUAGGUUCUCUUAUGAUCAGGUGUUAAAAUAUUUUGUGUACCUUGAAACUUAUGAUCAGGUGUUAAAAUAUUUUCAGCUUGUUAAACUCCUAUAAGAGGAGUUCUUUUGUAUCAAACUUGUUAAACUCCUAUAAGAGGAAUUAUUUUGUAUCAAAUGUUUUAGCUUGUUAACAUUUUCAGUUUUUUAUUAUCAAUUGUUCCAAACAAUAAAAAAAACAGGAAAUCAAGCAAAAUAAAAUUAAAAUCACAAAAUUUGGAAAUAAAUCUCGUUGUAUAGCCGCUUAUCAGUCAGUAUUUAGUGCAUAAAUAAACCAUUUGGCCCAAAAAACAGUAGCAAUGUAGUCGCUAACUAGUAGCAAAAUCGUAAAAUUUAACGACUGAUGACCGACUAAAUAUAACGACUGAUUCCCGACUAAUGUUUUACGACUGAUUCCCGACCACUAUAUUACGACUGAUUUUACGACUGAUAUUUUCCAACUGAUCUGCGGCGACAAUACAUGACCUUAUGACAGCAAAAAUGUCGCAGACUGGUCGUAAGAGAUGUCGCAGACUGGUCGUAAGAGAUGUCGCAAAAUCGUCGCCAAAAGUUACGACUGAAUUAAGACUGUUCUAUGACUAUGUACUGUACUCGUAAAACAGUCGUAAAUCAGUCGCUCAUUUCCGAUUGAUUUACGACCGUUUGUUUUUUGCGACGCGUUGGUUUCCGACCUCAUGUUCAGUCGCUAAUCAGUCGUAAAGUGUGAUUUUGUGACUAAUUUGCUACCAAUUGUGUAGUCGGAAGAUACAUGUUUUCUUGUAGUGUAUGGCGGCGGCUUAAAGCAUCAGCCACCCGAUAUUUUUUACCAGACUGAUGCUUAAUAGCGAAAGUAAACUGCUGGAGAAAGGUGAUCCAGGACGCAUGUCGAGCCGAAACUUUGGCUUGACUAUCGAGAUGGCGCAAUGCAUCAUGAUUGGUGAAUAAAAUAAAUUAUUGAUGAACAAGGUAAUGGCGCCAGUGUUUGAUAGCUUGGACGAUGGCAUAAAAUUCCACAUUAUAAGUGCUAUAACGAGACCUUGCACCGGCCAGCUUCUCGCUAUAAUAGGCUAUAGGACGUCCCCGUUGACUGAGCACUGCACCGAUCCCUAAUUUAGAUGCAUCACUAUGUAACUCGAAGGUUUCAAAGAAAUCUGGCAAAACGAGAACGGGUGCAGUGGUGAGUUUAGUUUUGAUCAGCUCAAACGCGGCUGUAGCCUCCGGAGUGCAAUUAAAUCUACCCUCCUUCAUGCAACUGGUGAUCGGAGCCAAACCAUGGAAGCUUCGAACCUCCGUAUCUGUCGUAGGAAGUGGCCUAGAAUGCACCGCUUCUACUUUGUUUUGGUCCAUCGCCAGCCCUUUUCCAGACACAAUGUAACCGAGGAACAAAACCUCAGGCACGCCGAACUCGCACUUAUGUUUGGCUGCAAAAAGUUGAUCUCUCUGAAGCAUACUCAGAACAUCAUGAAUGUGAGACAGAUGAUCGGUAAUGGAAGAGCUGAAUAUCAGGAUAUCGUGAAAGUAUACGAGGACAAACUUUCCAAUGAAAGGGUUAACUGACUGAUUCAUAAUACGCAUGAAGGUGCUAGGCGCAUUGGACAGCCCGAAAGGCAUUACUAACCACUCAAAUAAACCUUCACGGGUUUUAAAUGCUGUCUUCCACCAUCACCCGGUCUGAUUCGUAUCUGAUGAUAACCGCUCUUAAGAUCAAUUUUAGAAAAAAUAAAAGCAGAACCCACUUGGUCUAAGAGGUCAUCAAGAUGCGGAAUCGGGAAUUGGUAGCACACCGUAAUUUUAUUUUUUGUUCUACUAUCAACGCACAUACGCCAUGUUUUGGAAUAAGGAGAGCGGGACCGCAACGGGGAAAGGCUUUCGCGAAUAUGAGCAUUGCGUAACAAAUCCUCCACUUGUCUGCGCAGUUUCUCAUGCUCGUCCGGGCUCAUACGGUAAUGCAGACAGUUGGGGAGCGUUGCACCUGGCAUGAGGUCAAUCUGGUGUUGAAUAUCUCUCAGUGGCGGUAAUGAAGUUGGUAAGUCUGUUGGGCAGACACCGCGGAAUUCUUCAAGGAUGGCUUCAAUGUUGUUGUGUAAAGGUGAUGGAAGAGACGGAGGAGUCGGUGCUGUAACUAACGCAAACGCUAUACCCUCUUCAUGAAGUUCGGUUUUAAAUGUCCUAUAAGAACAUAUGAGUGAUGGUUGUUUUGCUGGUAAAACAGAACUAGGCUGAGCUUCUAGUACCAGAGGUGGAUCUUUUGAAGGACGCAGGAGGAUCUUGUGUGUAUCCCAAGUAAAUUGAUACGUAUCGACGCCAUAAUGUAUGAUCUAACGAUCAUACUCCCACGGUCUUCCUAGCAAAAGAUGGCUGAUAUCCAUAGGAGCUAUAUCACAGUAAAUUCGAUCUUUGUAAUAUGGCCCAACGGAAAACGGAAUGAGGGCACGUUGAGAGACACGUAAGUUGACGCUGUCGUUAAGCCAUCCUAGAGUGUAUGGCACAGUAUGGGCUUCACGAGUAAAGCCAAGUUUGUCGACUGCUUCUUCAGAGAUCAUGUUCUUACUGCUACCCGAAUCAAUAACAAAAGUGCAAACUCGUCCCUUGAUGGUACAAGUAGACAAAAUAUAUUAGUGCGAAGCCACUUGUCGUCUUGAAGGUGUGGUGGGAGGCAGGUUUGUCGCACAACCAUAAGAUGCCAUGUAUCGCCCGUGGGGGGAAAAAUGUCCUCCGUUUCCUGGUCAUCCUCUUGCAAAUCAUAGACAUCAAGCCCGUUUGCUGUCUCCUCCAUAAUUAACCCGCGUUUCGUAGCAUGAGGACAGGCUGUCUGUCUAUGCCCUAGUUCGCCACAAGUGUAGCAUCUCAGCACGUUAGGAUGUGUAGAUCAUCGUAGUUGUUGUUCUUCUUGGUUUGCCGGUUUGGUUGUAGAGUUUGCGGUUUCACUGGCUUCUUUUGCCGACGUCGCAGGAGCAUUGCUUCCUGUGUGUUCUUGACUGCGUGCGCGAUUGGACGGUGUAGACCAAUUUGACGCUUUUGAUUGUUGUUCAAAGGACGCUGCACGUCUAUGAGCUCCUCAAUUGUAGACGAAUCGAAAUGAGCCAUAGCCAUUUGUAGUUGGGGACGUAGGCCUCCAGUAAAACGAGAUACUAUUUUAACUUACCUGUCAUUAAUCUCAUUACGAGUCAAUAACAGUGAAAAUUCUUCUGCAUACUCGUCGACGGUGCCGUUGCCUUGACGCAAAUUCUUCAGUUUUGUGUACAUGGUGUGUUCGUAGUUAUAUGGGAGGAAGGUUUGACGUAGAUGUUUGGUCAGUUUCUCCAAUGAGUUGAUAGGCUCUUUACCCGUACGAGAACGUGUUGUUUUUAAUUGUUUCCACCAUGUAGCAGCAUGACCACGGAAGCGCAUAACCACGAGAGGAACACGAUGAUUAGGUGAGACUUCCUUGAACUCCAUGAUUUCCUCAACGGAUAUUAACCAAUCGAUAAGGUCACCGCCUUUCAGCCCUCCUUGGAAUUCGGGUAUAUCCACUUUAAAACUCUGCUCCCAUCGAUUAUUAAUAAAAUCUCGCUACCGCAGGUCCUCCCGAUAAACCCUUCGAUGAUCUUCUUCUUCUUCUUCCUCGUAUAAGUCAUGUGCCCGAGCAUCAUUAAAUUGGUGACGAUGUUGCUGUUGUUGCUGGUGAUGAUGAGGAGGUUGAUGGAUAGGUGGAAUCUGUUGUUGUGGUUGAUGAGGUUGUGGUCGUGGUGGUAGUGGCUGAUUAUGUGUGGCCUGGCGUUGAGGAUCAACGACCGGUUGGGCCUGUGGGUCCACGCGAAUUGUCAAGGCCGUCGUUAGGGCGUUAAGACGAUCUGUUACAGCCGCGAAUGCUGUGGUGAACGCCUCACUUUGCUGUUGGAUGGUUUUUUGAGUCAUUGUCUGCAUCCCUACGAGGAGGUCUCGUAGAUCCGUCAUAUCAAUACCAGUUCCUUCUGCCGUCUUUUUUGUCAUGAUAACGCAAGAAGAAAUCCAGAAACGUACUGGCUCUGAUACCAACUAAUGGAGAGCGGAAGCUAUGAAUCUUCAAGAUCAAGGGUUUGAAUGAGAAGAUGGUAAUGUUUCCCGAAGGUAUCUUCGAAAACGCUAGAAAGAUGGUGCAAAUACUCUUUGCAGUGUUCGUGAGAACUCUUAGGACCACGAAUACUCUUCGCAGUGCUCGAAAGCUCUUUAAAACCAAAUCAAUAACUUUAUUAAUCAAAUCGUGUCUUACAAAGCUUUGAUGUAACCGAGAAAACCAUAAACCUGAAGGAUUUAGUAAAAAAACUCAUAUCUCUAAAAGGAAACCACAAACACUUAAAAGGAAAGCAAAGCCCUUUGACUAAAAAAGGAAAUCCUAUAUGGGAGAGGAGUUGUGAUCGUCUGUAACCUUGUGUUGCUUGUCAACCACGGGUUUAGCUGCAUCAAUUACCCACUGGAAGGGUAGUUGUUGUUGUUGCUGCAAUCAUGUCCGUUUAUACCACAAACGGAAGAACAAAAGGAACAACGAUCAACUUCAACCAAUCUCACACCUAAAGUUCUUGGCGCCGUCAUAUAUUAAUGCAGAGCUGAUGCAAACAGCCGACUCUACAUUAAUCACCUACUGGCUUUAUUUAAAUCUAUUUUUUCAGAAAACAUCGAUAUGCCGUUUGGUUCAUCUUAAUUUACUGAUUAUUAAUGACUAGAAACUUUUUCCGGGCUACGCCCGGGUUCUCGUAUAAUCGUAUAAGUGUUUAAUUUAACUAAAUUUUUUUGGAUCAAUUUAUUUUAACUUAAUUAUUUUUUUUUGCACUUAUAUAUGAUAAAAAUUGUGUAUAUAUAUUGCAAUCGAUUUUAAACUAUCAAAUUGGUAGAAUAAUAAAAUUGGUUUUUAUCUAUUCAUUAUCUUGUGACUACCGAAUUAAACAUAAUUAAAACUCACAAUUUUUUUGAAAUCAAAUAUAGGAUAUACAUAAGAUGGAUUAAUAACUAAUUAAACUUAGUUAGGAUUUAAAUACUUUUAUCUUAUGUUUUAGGUUUGGAAUAAAGCAAUACUAAAAUUUACAAACUAAUUUGAACUUUGUUUUUACUUUAGAAUCAUUGAGUUUGAACACCAUAAAAUGAAUCAAAAUCAAUUCAUACCUAAAAUAAUAUUAUUUCCAAACCAGCUCAUGAAAACAUAUUAUAGAUAAAAAAAUAAAUAAAACAGACCAAGCCAAAUUAAAUAAAAAACUUUUUAAACAAAC
Molecule: RNA transcript, 11684 nt
Organism: Brassica rapa (field mustard)
Lineage: Eukaryota; Viridiplantae; Streptophyta; Magnoliopsida; Brassicales; Brassicaceae
Gene name: serine/arginine repetitive matrix protein 1-like
Source: RefSeq, a predicted model, not a curated record